GUAUAGGUAUAGGUAUAGAAUAUGAACAUGCAACAUUUACAAGAAAUAAAUCAGAUAAUAAUGAAAAAAGAAAAAAAAACAUAUGAUAUAAAAUUACUACAACAAAAAAAUGAUAAUAACUUAAAAAUGAUAAAUUUUUAUAAACUCGAAAUAAAUAAAUUAAGAGAAGCUCUAUUAUCAGUGAAAACUUAUUAUUACAACUAUAGAAUUAAAUCAAAAAAAAACAUUAACGAAUUAAUGAUUCAAUAUGAGAGAAUAAAAUUUCAAUUUAUUGAAUUACAAAAGAGACAAAAAAGUUAUGAACAAAAUUUUCAAAAAAAAUACACAAAUGCUUGGAACUUGCAAAAAAACGAGGCCAACAAGCACAUUGAAAAAAUUAAUAAAUGCAAAUAAAAUAAUUCACGAACAAAUCCUUUUAAAAGAAUUUCAUCAAACUAAUUAUAAACAAUUGAUAGAAGAUAACAGCAGUUUAAUUUCAACAACCGUUAAAGAUCAUGAAAUCCCUCAAACAGAGUUAAAUACAAAACGUGUUAAUAUACAACAUAUUGAAAAUGUUAAGAAGCUACUUCUGCAAGAAUGCAAUUUCCUAGUCGAAGACGAUAUCGAUGACGAACAACAAAAAAUAAAAAAACUAUUAAAAUACAUAGGUGUGUAUACACAAGAAGAUUUAGAACUACUAACACAAUUGUUUUAUUUAGAUUAUGAGCACGAAAAUGACAGUAACAAUAAUAACAACAAAGAGAGUGACCAUAAUGCGAUAAAAUAUAAUUCAGAAUAUACAUUAGAUAUAAUUUAUAAGUAUUAUCAAGAAAAAGAAAAAGAAAAUGCUUGUAAAAUAACAAAGAAUAAACAACAAUAUAAAAAUAGGUUAAAUAUUUCUUUAAAGUUAAUAAUUGAGAGAAGAAAAAAAGAAAAAGAGUUCUGGGAAAACUUAACGCAUAUUACAUCUAAUGAUAUGAUAGAAAUGUGGAAGACAUUCUCAGUUUUUGUGGAAAAGUAUUACUAUAUAUUAAAAGAUCGAGCAACUAUUGUCCAAAAUAUUUUUAAUGAAGAAAAAUUAAUCAUUGAAAAUAAAAACAAAAUUGAAAACAUGCGUGAAGCUUUAUCCAAGCUAUAAACAAGUAAAGAUUCAUAUAUUUUGUUUUUAAAGAUUUAAACCUUGUUUAGUGUAAUAAAAUAAAAAUGCAGAAGUCUGUAUUGAGAAAG
This 1206-nucleotide long non-coding RNA is filed under the name Piliocolobus tephrosceles (Ugandan red Colobus). RNAcentral's name for it is "lncRNA (ENSPTEG00000017859.1)". Lineage: Eukaryota; Metazoa; Chordata; Mammalia; Primates; Cercopithecidae. The record is from RNAcentral.